GCGGUGGAAUGCGCAGAUAUCAGGAGGAACACCGAUGGCGAAGGCAGAUCUCUGGGCCGUAACUGACGCUGAGGAGCGAAAGGGUGGGGAGCAAACAGGCUUAGAUACCCUGGUAGUCCACCCCGUAAACGUUGGGAACUAGUUGUGGGGUCCAUUCCACGGAUUCCGUGACGCCGCUAACGCAUUAAGUUUCCCGCCUGGGGAGUACGGCCGCAAGGCUAAAACUCAAAGGAAUUGACGGGGACCCGCACAAGCGGCGGAGCAUGCGGAUUAAUUCGAUGCAACGCGAAGAACCUUACCAAGGCUUGACAUAUACGAGAACGGGCCAGAAAUGGUCAACUCUUUGGACACUCGUAAACAGGUGGUGCAUGGUUGUCGUCAGCUCGUGUCGUGAGAUGUUGGGUUAAGUCCCGCAACGAGCGCAACCCUCGUUCUAUGUUGCCAGCACGUAAUGGUGGGAACUCAUGGGAUACUGCCGCGGUCAACUCGGAGGAAGGUGGGGAUGACGUCAAAUCAUCAUGCCCCUUAUGUCUUGGGCUUCACGCAUGCUACAAUGGCCGGUACAAUGGGCUGCAAUACCAUGAGGUGGAGCGAAUCACAAAAAGCCGGUCCCAGUUCGGAUUGAGGUCUGCAACUCGACCUCAUGAAGUCGGAGUCGCUAGUAAUCGCAGAUCAGCAACGCUGCGGUGAAUACGUUCCCGGGUCUUGUACACACCGCCCGUCAAGUCAUGAAAGUCGGUAACACCUCAAACGGU
Molecule: ribosomal RNA, 755 nt
Filed under: Microbacterium sp.
Lineage: Bacteria; Bacillati; Actinomycetota; Actinomycetes; Micrococcales; Microbacteriaceae
Description: bacterial SSU rRNA
Rfam family: Bacterial small subunit ribosomal RNA
Source: RNAcentral